AAACAUCCCUCUACUUACUUCCUCAUCAUCAGAACAACUUUUCCACUUCCAAAUUCCUGUUUUGCAUUCUGCACCUUCCAGACCAUCAUCUACGUCACUUCUGAUUUGGGAGACAGCUGUCCAUCACUUUAGUCUGCUUUCACAGAAGAUGGAGACAGAGCAAAUGUCCUUAUUGAGAUGGGAAAACUGAGGCAGAGUGAUUAAGCAACUUGCUUUAAAUUCCUGUCUGAUCCAGGAUUUUCAUAGAUGGGACCUUGCCUCCUGAUCAAGUGUAUAGACCAUUGAGACAACAGCUUUCUAUAUGUCCCAGGAAAGUGGGACACCCCUUUGGCAAUCUGUCAGUGCCAGGCUCAGCUGCUUCCUUUCACUGAGUGAUUUCUAACCAGAC
Rhineura floridana is the source of this 388-nucleotide long non-coding RNA. RefSeq lists it as uncharacterized. The transcript is spliced from 3 exons. The record is from RefSeq and is a predicted model, not a curated record. NCBI's taxonomy places the organism in Eukaryota, Metazoa, Chordata, Lepidosauria, Squamata, Rhineuridae.